UCGUAUUAAAAGAUUUUAUUAAAAAGAUGAAGACAUUCAAAUCUAAUUAAACCAUCCGAUGAACAAAGAGGACAAUCCAAGAAAAUAAUAUGGCGCUUUGUAUGCAGUAGGCAUUCCUGGAACGUGUAGAUUCAAAAUCGUGACUUCGUUAAUCCUAUAGACGGUACUUUCGUUGUAAACACACGUUCUACCCCUAAAAUUUUAAGUAAUUUAAAUGGUAUUUCAAACCUGAUGAAAAAAAAAAAAAAAAAAAAA
Long non-coding RNA from Apis mellifera (honey bee), 255 nucleotides. RefSeq lists it as uncharacterized. The transcript is spliced from 2 exons. The record is from RefSeq and is a predicted model, not a curated record. Lineage: Eukaryota; Metazoa; Arthropoda; Insecta; Hymenoptera; Apidae.